This 622-nucleotide unclassified non-coding RNA is filed under the name Hevea brasiliensis (rubber tree). The record is from RNAcentral. Lineage: Eukaryota; Viridiplantae; Streptophyta; Magnoliopsida; Malpighiales; Euphorbiaceae.
CACCAUCUUUGCAAAGCCGGGUACGAUAUUGAGCUGGAUGAAGCCAGCACUCAAAAACUCCAUGAGCAUAUUCACACAUAUCUCCCCGUCUACAAGCCCCUUUCCGAAAAUCAGGACAUGGAACACAACUGUAAUGGAACUUCCUAGGAUCCCUUCUUCGAGCAUUUUCCCCUGGAUGAACAAAUGGGCACUCAGUCCAAUCAUGGGAGUAGGCACGGGAACAGGGCCGCACCUUGAAUGAAUACAUUCGGAAUUCAUCAGUUGCAUAGAUGCUGUUUUUUAUGUCCGGCAGAGAUGGAUCAACGGGGUAUUCCUUUUUCUCUGAUGUGGAGAAAACAGGUACAUCAUUUAGCUUUGACUUCACUGGAGAGUCUGAUGAAGACAGUGGAGAGCUAUUUUCCACGGAAGGUGAAAGAGGUGGAGAACUUGAAUUCGCAGUAGCUGUGGAAACCCUCAGAUUGCGCUCAAAAACAGAACCAUCAGUAGCAAGAAGUUCUUCAAGAGUAUAUUUCAUAUCUUGGAGCUUUGGUGGAACAGCAAUAACAUCAAUUGGAUGAUGACCAUUGGCAUCCAUCAAAUUGGGAUCCCCACCAGCUGCUAAAAGCAGUUUCACAGCAUCAAC